This 1788-nucleotide ribosomal RNA is filed under the name Koreocoris bicoloratus. RNAcentral describes it as "SSU rRNA". It matches the Rfam family "Eukaryotic small subunit ribosomal RNA". Lineage: Eukaryota; Metazoa; Arthropoda; Insecta; Hemiptera; Miridae. The record is from RNAcentral.
GUGAAACCGCAAAAGGCUCAGUAAACCAGUCAUGAUUCACUCGAGUAUACAUGACUGUCUUUGGAUAACUGUGGUAAUCCUAGAGCUAAUACAUGCAAUCAAGUCCCGACCAGUCUGACUGGGAAGGACGCUUUUAUUAGAUCAAGACCAAUCGCCCGGCUCGUUCGGGCGUUGCCUUGGUGACUCUAGGUAACACAUCAGAUCGCACGGUCCUCGCACCGGCGACUUAUCCUUCAAAUGCCUGACUUAUCAACUGUCGAUGGUAGACUCUAUGUCUACCAUGGUUGUAACGGGUAACGGGGAAUCAGGGUUCGAUUCCGGAGAGGGAGCCUGAGAAACGGCUACCACAUCCAAGGAAGGCAGCAGGCACGCAAAUUACCCACUCCCGGCACGGGGAGGUAGUGACAAAAAAUAACGAUACGGGACUCUUAUGAGGCCCCGUAAUCGGAAUGAGUACACUUUAAAUCCUUUAACAAGGAUCCAUUGAAGGGCAAGUCUGGUGCCAGCAGCCGCGGUAAUUCCAGCUUCAAUAGCGUAUAUUAAAGUUGUUGCGGUUAAAAAGCUCGUAGUUGGUUCUGCGUGCCACGCUGUCGGUUCGCCGCCUGCCGGUGUAACUGGCAUGCCGUGGCAUGUCCUGUCGGUGGCGUUCGGGAGCCUCGUCUAGGCGACGGCCCUUGCCAAAAGCUUGGUGUCCGGAGGCCGGGGGUAUACCCGUUCGCCUACUCUAUCCUACCUAGGUGCUCUUUACCGAGUGUCGAGGUAGGCCGACACGUUUACUUUGAACAAAUUAGAGUGCUCAAAGCAGGCUGAAAUCUCUGCCUGAAUAGUGGUGCAUGGAAUAAUAAAACAGGACCUUGGUUCUAUUUUGUUGGUUCUUAGGAACACAAGGUAAUGAUCAAUACGGACAGGCGGGGGCAUUCGUAUUGCGACGUUAGAGGUGAAAUUCUUGGAUCGUCGCAAGACGCACAAGAGCGAAAGCAUUUGCCAAGUAUGUCUUGAUUGAUCAAGAAUACCGGAGGCCGGCCAGCGAUCCGCCGAUGUUCCUCCGAUGACUCGGCGGGGAGCUUCUUCCCGGGAAACCAAAGCUUUUGGGUUCCGGGGGAAGUAUGGUUGCAAAGCUGAAACUUAAAGGAAUUGACGGAAGGGCACCACCAGGAGUGGAGCCUGCGGCUUAAUUUGACUCAACACGGGAAACCUCACCAGGCCAGGACAUUGGAAGGAUUGACAGAUUGAUAGCUCUUUCUUGAUUCAGUGGGUAGUGGUGCAUGGCCGUUCUUAGUUGGUGGAUCGAUUUGUCUGGUUAAUUCCGAUAACGAACGAGACUCUAGCCUAUUAACUAGGCGUUUUCCGGUGUCCCCGCCACCGGCGACAAUCAUUCUUCUUAAGGGGACAGGCGGCUUAUAGCCGCACGAGAUUGAGCAAUAACAGGUCUGUGAUGCCCUUAGAUGUCCUGGGCCGCACGCGCGCUACACUGAAGGAAUCAGCGUGUGCCUCCCUGGCCGAAAGGCCCGGGUAAUCCGCUGAACCUCCUGCGUGCUAGGAAUUGGGGCUUGCAAUUGUUCCCCAUGAACGAGGAAUUCCCAGUAAGCGCGAGUCAUAAGCUCGCGUUGAUUACGUCCCUGCCCUUUGUACACACCGCCCGUCGCUACUACCGAUUGAAUGAUUUAGUGAGGUCUUCGGACUGGCGGUAAUCCCUACCGACUUGUCGGUAUCGAUGAACGCUGGAAAGAUGACCAAACUUGAUCAUUUAGAGGAAGUAAAAGUCGUAACAAGGUUUCCGUAGGUGAA